UAGCUGAGUAGGUAAAGCAAUUGCCUUGCAAGCAUGAAGACCUGGGUUUGGUUCCCAG
RNAcentral lists this transfer RNA (58 nucleotides) under Mesocricetus auratus (golden hamster). It matches the Rfam family "tRNA", at positions 8 to 63 of the family's 71-position model. From Rfam's summary of the family: Transfer RNA (tRNA) molecules are approximately 80 nucleotides in length. Lineage: Eukaryota; Metazoa; Chordata; Mammalia; Rodentia; Cricetidae. The record is from Rfam by way of RNAcentral.